This 45-nucleotide non-coding RNA is filed under the name Schistosoma haematobium. Lineage: Eukaryota; Metazoa; Platyhelminthes; Trematoda; Strigeidida; Schistosomatidae. The record is from RNAcentral.
AUCCAGAUGAUCAAUCUCAAAUAGGACGAAACGCGUGUCCUGGAU